This 463-nucleotide ribosomal RNA is filed under the name uncultured Klebsiella sp. RNAcentral describes it as "bacterial SSU rRNA". It matches the Rfam family "Bacterial small subunit ribosomal RNA", at positions 340 to 795 of the family's 1533-position model. The record is from RNAcentral. Lineage: Bacteria; Pseudomonadati; Pseudomonadota; Gammaproteobacteria; Enterobacterales; Enterobacteriaceae.
UACGGGUGGCAGCAGUGGGGAAUAUUGCACAAUGGGCGCAAGCCUGAUGCGGCCAUGCCGCGUGUGUGAAGAAGGCCUUCGGGUUGUAAAGCACUUUCAGCGGGGAGGAAGGCGGUGAGGUUAAUAACCUCAUCGAUUGACGUUACCCGCAGAAGAAGCACCGGCUAACUCCGUGCCAGCAGCCGCGGUAAUACGGAGGGUGCAAGCGUUAAUCGGAAUUACUGGGCGUAAAGCGCACGCAGGCGGUCUGUCAAGUCGGAUGUGAAAUCCCCGGGCUCAACCUGGGAACUGCAUUCGAAACUGGCAGGCUAGAGUCUUGUAGAGGGGGGUAGAAUUCCAGGUGUAGCGGUGAAAUGCGUAGAGAUCUGGAGGGAUACCGGUGGCGAAGGCGGCCCCCUGGACAAAGACUGACGCUCAGGUGCGAAAGCGUGGGGAGCAAACAGGAUUAGAUACCCCAGUAGUC